Molecule: small RNA, 388 nt
Filed under: Arabidopsis thaliana (thale cress)
Lineage: Eukaryota; Viridiplantae; Streptophyta; Magnoliopsida; Brassicales; Brassicaceae
Description: ATSL216020
Source: RNAcentral
UACAUAUAAACAAAAGUUUAUUGGGCUACCUGAUAUUUCCUCUAAAUGUUUUUAUUUUUUUUUGACAAAACAAAUACUAAAUUUUCAUGCAUUACUGUAUACAGAAUUAUUCAUUUCAUUUUUUUUUUAUACUCUAUCGGCUGAUCCGGUCAGUUUUAGUAAAAACGCACCAAUAUGCUACAAAGUGGACUAUUCCCGAUCCAGGUAGAGUUAGACCACCACACUACCAGAUUCGAGUUUGAAAUGUCUUUCGACUAAUGUUAUAGAAUAAUCAGGUCGUCUCCAUUUCUUACUACCAUAUAAACUAAUUAAAGCACGACCCAACCGAUAAAUUUUCCAAAUAAAUAUAAUUUUAUUCUAAGAAAGAAUCGAAUUUAGAUAUGGGAGU